GGAAAGCAAACAGCAGCAAGAGCAGCAGAAGAUUCAAUGUCGGAACAGCCUACAAACUGCAGGCUGUAACCUCGACGGUAUUGAUUGAGUGCACUUGUCCAUCUUCAUUUUUAACGCAAAAUAAAAUGCGUGAAGAACUGUGGAGAUGGCCAGGCAAAGGAGGAUCUUCUUGGCUUCAUUUGUACCAGAGCACUUUAUCAAGACUGAAUAUAAUUUUGCUGGCCUAUUUAUGAGCUAAAAAUAGACAUUAUUUUGUUUGGCCCAUUUUCCAUCUUAGGCUCUCCUGGGAGCCCAGGUGAACUGUGGCUCAUUUUUAACUCCCUCCCAUCAUUGCGUAUUUUCCGUCGACCCAGGCUGCAUGGAAGUGAAAGUCACUUUGUACUGCCAGUCGCACUGGAGCGCGCUGAAUCUCCCAGAAGCAGGGAAAGAAAAAGGCCCGUGGAGAGGACUUUCCAUUCUUAGCGAAACCUAGCUGCUGUGGCCUGAGGGGCUAAUCAAGCAUUAUAAACACUGAUUAAAUAAGGGAAUGUGGCCUUGGAAAUCACCGGAAUUGGUGCCAAUUCUGUGACAUUCACAUUCCUACCUUCUCUCUAAUGUCUUUUCUUCUUUAAGUUUGGAUGGGAGCAAAUUCUGCAUCUUCCGCCGCUGACUCGUGGGUCCUGAGGGGACUGCCCCUCCUACCCAGAUCUUGCUGUGGGUAGAAUUUAUGAAACUGUAAUCCAGCGACCUUCGUGUGGUCUCCAGACAAUCUCCUCCUGAGCUUAGAACUUUAGAGCUGAAUGUUACCUUAUAGAUGAUCUAGAUCCUUGCUACUGAAAACGUAACGCGCGGAACAGCAGACGGCCCUCAUCAGGAAUCUCGUCAGACAUGUAGAAUUCCCACCCCAGCCCUACGGAAUCAGAUCACGCCUUAAACGAGAUUUCCAGGUGGUUCACAUGCGCAUUGAAGUUCAAGAAGCAAUGGUGUGGAUCAAGACCCUUGUUUUAUAGGUUAGGAUGCUGUGGCCCCGAUCUGGGCAGUUAUUAGCUAGCAUCCCACAACAACCGUCAGAGCCUGCCAUUCUCCUUUCUCCAGGAUGCUGCGGUCCCUCCAUAUGACACGGCUUCUCUGGACUCUUGAAUGAAGAGUUAUUUGUAUAGUAUUUGCGUUCGUUAGUGGGAAAGGAAAUAGCACCUUGUUCACAUAAACAUAACCUGUGUCUGUGUUUCCAUGAUCUCUGAUAUAACUUGUUGAAAACGCCUAGCACAGUGCCUGUCUAUGUGGUAGGUGCCCAACUGACACUGUGAUCGUAUUGAUAAAAUUAUUAAUACUAAUAGUUGUUAUUGUCAUUAAUUUUGUGCUUGCAGUAAAAGUAACAGAAAAUAGUGAAAAUUUUCCUUGGAGGUUGCCUUAUACACCCAACCAGCUUGCAGACCAGAUCAGGAAAUCCUAGAGGCUGGUAUGGUGGGAAUGGGUUUACUUUCACUUAAAUUCCUACCACAGGGUAGGAGGUGGUUGGCUGGUGAAACAUCUACCAGCGCAUCACAGCUCCUUGUUGUCAUAAAGGAUUAUGUUUACCUGCUUCCCUGGCAGUGGUAAAAUAAAAAGAUGCGAAGUCAUUAAAGACACUACCACUGUCUUCUGGGAGAAUCUCUUCUCAUCAUAGGCUCAGUCUUUCUGGAUAAUUGGGUGACCACUCACCUCCUGGCCAGUGAUGUCUCUUCUCUUAAUUCUUUUCUUCCUCUUCUUCCUUCUCUUCCUUUGACAUUAGUCAAGCAGCUCCAUGGAGCUUUUUUUGCAGAUUUUUUGAGGUUUUCUACACAGCAAAUCACGUCAUCUGUGAAGAGAGAGUUUAAUUUCUUUUCCAGUCUUCUCCUGAAGUGCCCUCUGUCCACAGAGUGCACCUGCUGAGGAGUCACUGAGGACCAGCUGAGUGACACAGGCAGUUACACACAAGCAUGGAGCCAAGAUACCUGACAGUGGCGUGGACUUCCUGGAAGAAGUGAAUGUGAAUAGAACUGAAAGUAGAGGAGAAAGGGCAUUCUCAUGCAGGUGGUCCUGUGCAGACCCUUGGGCCCCACCUCAGAGCUAUUGAACAAGAAUCUGCAUGUUAACAAGAUCCUCAGGAGACCUGCAUGUGCCCUAAAAUUUAAGAAACAUCAUUUUCAAUGAUAAAGAAACAUUUGAACGAGUAGCAUGUUUUUUCUCUUGCAUCACGUGUUUGACUUUUAUCUUUUGUUGCUCCUGCCUUUAAUUUCCAGAGGGCUCAUUUAUAUAACCUUCUCCUACAGAUAAUCUGAAUAGUUGGUGUUCUGUAUAGCUGCCUGUAAAUACGUAUGGUCCUUUUACAUGUUUCUCCUUCACGGGACAGUAGGCAACAUUUUCUGUUCAAAAUUCAAGUAACAGGACAAAGCCAGAGGAAUAGUUAAAAAGUGGACUAAAGAAAGAAAAAAAGAGCGUGUUAAGGAAAGGAAGUAAAAUGAGAAGUGGAAAAGAGAUAUGGACAGAGUAAGGUGGUUGUAUAAUGAAGAAUUUGUCUGAUCUUUGUCCCAG
This 2532-nucleotide long non-coding RNA is filed under the name Equus caballus (horse). RNAcentral's name for it is "lncRNA (ENSECAG00000031439.3)". The record is from RNAcentral. Lineage: Eukaryota; Metazoa; Chordata; Mammalia; Perissodactyla; Equidae.